UAUUAUUUAAAAUGUAAAAGUAAAGAUUGGAGUAGUAAUAGUUAUGGUCUUGAAACUCAAAGAAUUUGGCGGUAAAUUAAACUAUUCAGAGGAAUCUGUUUUGUAAAUGAUAAUACACGAUUGAGAAUACCUUAUUUUGAUUUGUAUAUCGUCGUCAUCAGAUUAUUUUAAGUUAAAAAUAAUAAAUUUCGGAAUAUUUCUAGAUUAAUAUGUCAGAUCAAGGUGCAGUUUAUAGUAAGGAAGAUAAUGGAUUACAAUAAUAUUUAAUUAAAACGGAUUGCUUUUAGGAACUGGAAGAAGGAAGGUGGAUUUGAAAGUAAAUUGAAUUAAGAUAUUUAGUUGAAAUUAGCUCUAAGGUAUGUACACAUCGCCCGUCGCUCUCAUUUUAAGGUGAG
RNAcentral lists this ribosomal RNA (395 nucleotides) under Arachnocephalus vestitus. RNAcentral's name for it is "partial 12S ribosomal RNA". Lineage: Eukaryota; Metazoa; Arthropoda; Insecta; Orthoptera; Mogoplistidae. The record is from RNAcentral.